CAAGCAUUCUUACCUCCAACACUAAAAAUGUAACUUCCGGUUUGCGAGCGAAGACAUUUUCUGCAUUUCUGCAGGGUUUUCCCUCAGCAGGCAAGAAAGGCCCUUAAUUUCAAAUGCAUUGGCAUGAUAAUAUUCAUUGAGGCUACACGGAUCAUCUCUGAUCUUCGGUUUUAUAGUAGACAUAGUCAUGAUGCCUUCUGGCGAUGACCCAGAUGUUGACGAUGUGAAAGACUGGGUAUUGCACACUUCAGUUGGUGAAGGACACAAGUUUGGAAUCAUCCGUAUUCCACCUGUCCAAACUGUUCGAUGUAUCCACAUCUCUUCCAACGUUGUUUCAGCGGUUUAAUGAUGGACUUUUCCAAUUUCUUGCCAUCUUUAGCUUCAGCCUUUUCAUAGGCCUCUUUUUAGUACAAGCUAACAUGGCCUGGCAGUCGUACCAGAUGCUUCAACGACUGUCGCGGAAUCGACCAGUCCCGGACAUGGUGUACCACCUCUACUUCGACUCCCUGGACUGGGAAAUUGAUCCCAGUAAGGUGGACCUGAAGGUUAACACCAGCAUCUUUGUACAUUAACAUCACAUCAUCGGGGAAGACAGAUAAACAACACGCUCAUCUGUCUUCAGAGCUUCUUUUCUUAAAUGUGUAUGGUUGUUCCGAGUUAGAUCAUUGCUUCAACUCUUCUAUGUACAUCUGUUGACCGGACAUAAUGUAACAAGCACCCUGUCCCUCAUUCAUAUUACAAACAGUGGCAUUACUUCACAAAUAUGGCAAGAUCUUGGUAAUUAUGAGACGGAUAUAUAUAGCACCAGGGCCUUCAUUAUUCAUUGUUUCCAUGCCAAGUUUUAUGCCAAGUCUUAUGCCCUGUGUACUUAUUGGGUCACUUCAGUACUCAUACUACACUUAUUUCUGAGUUCUACUCAGUUCUUUCAAAGUUGCAGCCAAAUUAAUGAUUGAAUGCAGGCAUUACUUUGUGUAAUAUAACCUAAUACUUAACGUCUUACAACGAAUGUUGACCAAUAAAUUACCAUACAUGAACAUGAUGAAGAUCAGUUUGGGGAUCAACCUUAGCACUCAGGAGAAGAUUUUCAUAAAGGUAGACCCAUUUUCUAAGAUUUUUGGCGAUGGUUGGGGGGUCGUAAUAUGGUCAGUAAACAUGAUAAAGUUGAAUAUGUUUUGCAACUAAUGAAGGAUAUGUUCAUGGUAGUCUGAACAGUGUAUGAGGGUGGUCAGAAGAUGUCAGUCUGUACAAGGUGUAUGAGGGUGUUUGAGGGUGGCCAGAAGAUGUCAGUCUGUACAAGGUGUAUGAGGGUGUUUGAGGGUGGCCAGAAGAUGUCAGUCUGUACAAGGUGUAUGAGGAUGGUCAGAAGAUGUCAGUCUGUACAAGGUGUAUGAGGGUGGUCAGAAGAUGUCAGUCUGUACAAGGUGUAUGAGGGUGGUCAGAAGAUGUCAGUCUGUACAAGGUGUAUGAGGGUGGUCAGAAGAUGUCAGUCUGUACAAGGUGUAUGAGGGUGUCCAGAAGAUGUCAGUCUGUAUAAGGGGUAUGAGGGUGGUCAGAAGAUGUCAGUCUGUACAAGGUGUAUGAGGGUGGUCAGAAGAUGUCAGUCUGUACAAGGUGUAUGAGGGUGGUCAGAAGAUGUCAGUCUGUACAAGGUGUAUGAGGGUGUCCAGAAGAUGUCAGUCUGUACAAGGUGUAUGAGGGUGGUCAGAAGAUGUCAGUCUGUACAAGGGGUAUGAGGGUGGUCAGAAGAUGUCAGUCUGUACAAGGUGUAUGAGGGUGUCCAGAAGAUGUCAGUCUGUACAAGGUGUAUGAGGGUGGUCAGAAGAUGUCAGUCUGUACAAGGGGUAUGAGGGUGGUCAGAAGAUGUCAGUCUGUACAAGGGGUAUGAGGGUGGUCAGAAGAUGUCAGUCUGUACAAGGGGUAUGAGGGUGGUCAGAAGAUGUCAGUCUGUACAAGGUGUAUGAGGGUGGUCAGAAGAUGUCAGUCUGUACAAGGUGUAUGAGGGUGUCCAGAAGAUGUCAGUCUGUACAAGGUGUAUUAGGGUGGUCAGAAGAUGUCAGUCUGUACAAGGUGUAUGAGGGUGGUCAGAAUAUGUCAGUCUGUAUAAGGCAGAAAAUGACCAUGAAAUGUAUUAUUUGAUCUUGAUUUGCAAAACACUAACUGGAUAAUGUGUUUACUGAGAUGUUGGUCUAAUCACACAGGAGAAGUCUACAAUCCUGUCAAACAUAGCACAUAGUCAACAGUGGGCAAUUGUUAGUCCUUCUUGAUAAGAUAAGGUUUCCAAGUUUGUCUCCAUUCUAUUUGAUAUGGGAAAACUUUCCCAUAUAUGUAUGCCCUACACUGUAGCAAUAUAUGUAAGAAAAUAAGGAGUGUAAAAAAAGAAAUAUUUCACUCCAAACAAACAUCAAUAGACAAAAGGAAAUGGUAAACUGAUCUUCCACCUUUAGAUAUAAGACACAGUGGGUUUUGUACAUACCCUCAUAGGACUGGGAUAUUCCUGAGAUUCACACAUACAUAGCAAUAAAUAUUGGAGUCAGUGUGUUGGACAUGCUGAGAAUAUAUGAAGUGGUCUUGAUAAGUUCCAGUAAUAGUAUAUACUCAAGUCCACAGUUGCCUACUGACCAAUCAUGCAAGGCUUCAUUUACAGAUUUACAAUCCAUUUAUUGUUUUUGUCACUGCUGAAACAUUGUGUAGUAUAGCUCUCAUGAACGCUGUUAUUAGUAGGCUACAUAAUGACAUGGUGACCCAUCUUACCCUGUGUCAGGUGCAGGAGCUGGCUGGACACGGGGCACAUUUGGUGCAUUUGGACAGUUACAACAUUUUUUAAUGAAGAUCCAUGUCUGUAUGUCGCUUGAGCUGUGAAAUGUCUGUUGUUAACAUCCCACCUUUUUCUGGUACAUAUUGUGACUCGAUUAGACUGAACAGUGAUUCAUUGUGCUGUCAAAGAAGGGUUUUACAAUUUUACACAAUUGACUAGGGAAUAGAUGUUUUUGGAAUGGUGUAUUUCAAUCAGUCACAUCACCACUUAAUGAAUGUUAUAUCAAGGCAUGAAUGUGAUUAUGAAAGUGUUGUGUAUUUUAUCCACUGGAAUCAUGUUUAUUCCUAUAUGUUUGCUGUGUUGAUUUUAACUCUAAAUGUCUUGAUGUAGUUAUUUAUGGACAAGGUACACUGAUCGGUGAGCUGUUCUGAUUAUGUAGUCUGCCUUCAACAACCCAUUAACAUUUAUUUAUCAUAUUUAUGGAUGGUCUUGCAUCUUAUAAAAUUUGAACAGGCCUUCCUCUUGUUCCUCAGCCAGGCAGAUGGGGAAAUAUUGGGCAUGACUACGGCCUCAUGACUUUGUGCUUGUACUUCUAGCACGUCACUUGUUCUUAGUUUGUCCUGUAUCUGGCUUCAAGUAAAGCACGAAUUAGGGCACUGCUUGUUGAUUAAGAUUGUAUUAUCAAAUUUAGUGGAAAUUUUGUCUGAAAGCUCAUAUAUCAUGUGAAAGAACAGAAGCUUCUUCAUACCUCACUGCAUGUCCAUUAAAUAUCACAUUGAUAUGUGCAGAAGUAGCCAGGUUGGGGGUCAAAACUACUUCUGUGAGCUGUUUCAGAGACACCACAAUUCUUUUUUUUUCUUUUUGUUGUUGUUUAACGCCACACUCAGCAAUAUUCCAGCUAUAUGUCGGCGGUCCAGAAAUAAUCGAGUCUGGACCAGACAGUCCAGUGUUUGAUAUCAUUAACAUCGA
Molecule: RNA transcript, 3724 nt
Organism: Haliotis rufescens (red abalone)
Lineage: Eukaryota; Metazoa; Mollusca; Gastropoda; Lepetellida; Haliotidae
Exons: 4
Source: RefSeq, a predicted model, not a curated record